Molecule: ribosomal RNA, 1336 nt
Filed under: uncultured bacterium
Lineage: Bacteria
Description: bacterial SSU rRNA
Rfam family: Bacterial small subunit ribosomal RNA
Source: RNAcentral
GACGAACGCUGGCGGCGUGCUUCACACAUGCAAGUCGAACGGAAAGGCACCUUCGGGUGUACUCGAGUGGCGAACGGGUGAGUAACACGUGAGUAAUCUGCCUUUAGCUUUGGGAUAAGCCUCGGAAACGGGGUCUAAUACUGGAUAUGACUGCUGCUCGCAUGAGUGGUGGUGGAAAGUUUUUCGGCUAAAGAUGAGCUCGCGGUCUAUCAGCUUGUUGGUGGGGUAAUGGCUCACCAAGGCUUUGACGGGUAGCCGGCCUGAGAGGGCGACCGGCCACACUGGGACUGAGAUACGGCCCAGACUCCUACGGGAGGCAGCAGUGGGGAAUAUUGCGCAAUGGGCGAAAGCCUGACGCAGCGACGCCGCGUGAGGGGUGACGGCCUUCGGGUUGUAAACCUCUUUCGGUAGGGACGAAGCGCAAGUGACGGUACCUGCAGAAGAAGCGCCGGCUAACUACGUGCCAGCAGCCGCGGUAAGACGUAGGGCGCAAGCGUUGUCCGGAUUUAUUGGGCGUAAAGGGCUCGUAGGCGGUUUGUCGCGUCUGUCGUGAAAGCUCAGGGCUUAACUCUGAGUUUGCGGUGGAUACGGGCAGACUUGAGGCAAGUAGGGGAGAACGGAAUUCCAUGUGUAGCGGUGAAAUGCGCAGAUAUGUGGAGGAACACCGGUGGCGAAGGCGGUUCUCUGGGCUUGUUCUGACGCUGAUGAGCGAAAGCGUGGGGAGCGAACAGGAUUAGAUACCCUGGUAGUCCACGCUGUAAACUAUGGGCGCUAGGUGUGGGGCGGCGUUGUUCGUUCCGUGCCGUAGCUAACGCAUUAAGCGCCCCGCCUGGGGAGUACGGCCGCAAGGCUAAAACUCAAAGGAAUUGACGGGGGCCCGCACAAGCGGCGGAGCAUGCGGAUUAAUUCGAUGCAACGCGAAGAACCUUACCUGGGUUUGACAUCACCCGUUUACCUGCAGAGAUGUGGGGUCCUUCGGGGCGGGUGACAGGUGGUGCAUGGCUGUCGUCAGCUCGUGUCGUGAGAUGUUGGGUUAAGUCCCGCAACGAGCGCAACCCUUAUCCUAUGUUGCCAGCGCGUUAUGGCGGGGACUCAUGGGAGACUGCCGGGGUCAACUCGGAGGAAGGUGGGGAUGAGGUCAAGUCAUCAUGCCCCUUAUGUCCAGGGCUUCACGCAUGCUACAAUGGCCGGUACAGAGGGCUGCGAUACCGUGAGGUGGAGCGAAUCUCAUAAAGCCGGUCUCAGUUCGGAUCCCAGUCUGCAACUCGACUGGGUGAAGUCGGAGUCGCUAGUAAUCGCAGAUCAGCAACGCUGCGGUGAAUACGUUCUCGGGCCU